This 468-nucleotide ribosomal RNA is filed under the name uncultured bacterium. RNAcentral's name for it is "partial 16S ribosomal RNA". It matches the Rfam family "Bacterial small subunit ribosomal RNA", at positions 29 to 507 of the family's 1533-position model. The record is from RNAcentral.
AACGAACGCUGGCGGCAUGCUUAACACAUGCAAGUCGAACGGAAAGGCCCUGCUUUUGUGGGGUGCUCGAGUGGCGAACGGGUGAGUAACACGUGAGUAACCUGCCCUUAACUUUGGGAUAACUUCAGGAAACUGGGGCUAAUACCGGAUAGGAGCUCCUGCUGCAUGGUGGUGGUUGGAAAGUUUCGGCGGUUGGGUAUGGACUCGCGGCUUAUUAGCUUGUUGGUGGGGUAGUGGCUUACCAAGGCUUUGACGGGUAGCCGGCCUGAGAGGGUGACCGGCCACAUUGGGACUGAGGUACGGCCCAGACUCCUACGGGAGCCAGCAGUGAGAAAUAUUGCACAAUGGGCGGCGGCAGGAUGCAGCAACGCCGCGUGCGGGAUGACGGCCUUCGGGUUGUAAACCGCUUUCGCCUGUAACGAAGCGUGAGUGACGGUAAUGGAUAAAGAAGCACCGGCUAACUACGUG